RNAcentral lists this long non-coding RNA (1130 nucleotides) under Eucalyptus grandis. RNAcentral describes it as "long non-coding RNA (EGRA_LNC003244)". The record is from RNAcentral. Lineage: Eukaryota; Viridiplantae; Streptophyta; Magnoliopsida; Myrtales; Myrtaceae.
GAAAGAAGAAAGAAAGAACAAGGAAGAAAGAGGAAGGUUUUUGCUACGGAGACCUCACCAAAGCCGAUUAAACUCCGAUUUGCAAUCCCUAGUAAGUGCUUGUGCCCCUCGUUCUUCCAAUCUGAUUAGUUGUUAGAGUUAGGGUACAAAUUCAAGAUCACGUAAUUUCGUGGAAGCCAACUCUAAAGUCUUGUAAACAAUGACUAAAUGCUACAUGGCAACUCGAGUCAUGUGGAAGUCACCUCUUGGACCUUGUACUAUUGAUACACGUUGAUUAUUAUAUUACAUGAUAACGUAAUUUCAUGAGAGCCACCUCUCGGGUCUUAUACCAUUUACUUGUGUUGGUCAAGAACUAAGUGUUAUAUGAUAACGUAAUUUCGUGGGAGCCAACAUUAGAGUCUUGUACUAUUGAUACGUGUUGAUUAAGGGCUAAGUGCUACACGAUGAUGCAAUCUCGUGAGAGCCAACUCUAGGGCAUUAAGAUGUGAUGUGGUACGAGUUUGGAAAAUGAAAUAAACCAUUGACAUAAGAUAUGACGAGUUUUAUUAUCGAAUUGAAGUAGCGAUACUUGUUUUGAUAUUAUGGAUGAAUGAGAAAUUUUGCUAUUAAUAUAGCAUGGUCGAUAAAUUAUAUACUCAUUUUAUUCUUGUAAGUUAUUAUAUUUUGGAUUGGCAUAAAUAAAUCAUGUCUUUGAGUUUUAGUUGUGUAAUGUGGAGGUUGUUCUGCUUAGAAAAUUCAUACUACUCAGUGAAUUACGGUUGCUCAUCCCUUUUUUUCCCAAUUUUUUUAGGUUCUUCGGUUAGUGGCGAUAAUACAAGAGUGCUAAUGAUGAGGACUUUUGGAUGCAGAUUUUUGGGUAUAGUUUGAGAUUACGUCCUUCAGACAGAAGGAUGACCAUGUCAUACCCAUUUUUGCUAGGAUUUGGGGUGUGACAAAAUCAACCUCCCAUCAAGGCACUUUUUUCCCUCUUGUGCUUCGGCUAAACCGCCAUGUCCCAUUCUCAAAAAAUCUUCGCACUUCUCUCCCUGUGACUAGUACUGUGAAUUGUUCGACCACCGAUUCCAGCUUCAUGAUGUCUCGACCUAACCAAAUGCAAUCAUCGAGCAGUGACAAAGAGCGAACUCAUCUGG